AGAGUUUGAUCCUGGCUCAGGAUGAACGCUGGCGGCGUGCUUAACACAUGCAAGUCGAGCGAAGCGCUUUAACGGAAUUCUUCGGAAGGAAGAUAAAGUGACUGAGCGGCGGACGGGUGAGUAACGCGUGGGUAACCUGCCUCACACAGGGGGAUAACAGUUAGAAAUGACUGCUAAUACCGCAUAAGACCACAGCACUGCAUGGUGCAGGGGUAAAAACUCCGGUGGUGUGAGAUGGACCCGCGUCUGAUUAGGUAGUUGGUGAGGUAACGGCUCACCAAGCCGACGAUCAGUAGCCGACCUGAGAGGGUGACCGGCCACAUUGGGACUGAGACACGGCCCAAACUCCUACGGGAGGCAGCAGUGGGGAAUAUUGCACAAUGGGCGAAAGCCUGAUGCAGCGACGCCGCGUGAAGGAAGAAGUAUUUCGGUAUGUAAACUUCUAUCAGCAGGGAAGAAAAUGACGGUACCUGACUAAGAAGCCCCGGCUAACUACGUGCCAGCAGUCGCGGUAAUACGUAGGGGGCAAGCGUUAUCCGGAUUUACUGGGUGUAAAGGGAGCGUAGACGGCUCUGUAAGUCUGGAGUGAAAACCCGGGGCUCAACCCCGGGACUGCUUUGGAAACUAUGGAGCUAGAGUGUCGGAGAGGUAAGUGGAAUUCCUAGUGUAGCGGUGAAAUGCGUAGAUAUUAGGAGGAACACCAGUGGCGAAGGCGGCUUACUGGACGAUGACUGACGUUGAGGCUCGAAAGCGUGGGGAGCAAACAGGAUUAGAUACCCUGGUAGUCCACGCCGUAAACGAUGACUACUAGCUGUUGGGCGGCAUAGCCGGUUCGGUGGGCGCAGCAAACGCAAUAAGUAGUCCACCUGGGGAGUGCGUUGGCAAGAAUGAAACCCAAAAGGAAUUGACGGGGGCCCGCACAAGCAGUGGAGUAUGUGGUUUAAUUCGAAGCAACGCGAAGAACCUUACCAGGUCUUGACAUCCUAGGAAUCCUGUAGAGAUACGGGAGUGCCUUCGGGAACCUAGAGACAGGUGGUGCAUGGUUGUCGUCAGCUCGUGUCGUGAGAUGUUGGGUUAAGUCCCGCAACGAGCGCAACCCCUAUUGCUAGUUGCUACGCAAGAGCACUCUAGCGAGACUGCCGUUGACAAAACGGAGGAAGGUGGGGAUGACGUCAAAUCAUCAUGCCCCUUAUGACCUGGGCUACACACGUACUACAAUGGCAAUUAACAGAGGGAAGCAAAACAGUGAUGUAGAGCAAAUCCCCAAAAAUUGUCCCAGUUCAGAUUGUAGGCUGCAACUCGCCUACAUGAAGUCGGAAUUGCUAGUAAUCGCAGAUCAGCAUGCUGCGGUGAAUACGUUCCCGGGCCUUGCACUCACAGCCCGUCA
RNAcentral lists this ribosomal RNA (1387 nucleotides) under uncultured bacterium. RNAcentral describes it as "bacterial SSU rRNA". It matches the Rfam family "Bacterial small subunit ribosomal RNA". The record is from RNAcentral.